Molecule: ribosomal RNA, 440 nt
Filed under: uncultured bacterium
Lineage: Bacteria
Description: partial 16S ribosomal RNA
Rfam family: Bacterial small subunit ribosomal RNA
Source: RNAcentral
CCUACGGGUGGCAGCAGUAGGGAAUAUUGCUCAAUGGGGGAAACCCUGAAGCAGCAACGCCGCGUGGAGGAUGAAGGUUUUCGGAUUGGUAACUCCUUUUGUUAGAGGAGAUAAUCACGUUAUCUAACGAAUAAGCAACGUCUAACUCCGUUCCAGCAGCCGCGGUAAUACGGAGGGUGCCAGCGUUACUCGGAAGCACUGGGCGUAAAGAGCGCGUAGGCGGGAUAGCAAGUCAGAUGUGAAAUGGUAGGGCUUAACCAGAGAACUGCAUUUGAAACUGUCAUUCUUGAGUAUGCGAGAGGUAGGUGGAAUUCUUGGUGUAGCGGUAAAAUCCGUAGAGAUCAAGAAGAAUACUCAUUGCGAAGGCGACCUGCUAGAGCAUAACUGACGCUGAUGCGCGAAAGCGUGGGGAGCAAACAGGAUUAGAUACCCUUGUAGUC